Molecule: long non-coding RNA, 655 nt
Organism: Nicotiana tabacum (common tobacco)
Lineage: Eukaryota; Viridiplantae; Streptophyta; Magnoliopsida; Solanales; Solanaceae
Source: RefSeq, a predicted model, not a curated record
CCAUUAUCAUCAAUUUCAUUUCUAAAGGCACAUUGACAAUUGUCGUUACCUCAAAAAUAAGGAAAGCAAACCAUUUGAUUAAUUGAUUUGACUGAUCAGAAUGACCUGUUGAAAAACUUUACAUUUUGAUAUUGGAACAAUCAAGUUUGGACUUUGAUGUAAGCAAAAUUGUCAAACAGUCAACUGAGAUGCGUUGUAACCUGCAGCAAUUCCCAGAUAGAGGCACAGAAAAUUUCAGAGUUGAAGUUUCAAUGUGAAAUGUCAAGUGAUUGGUGAAGAAGCUUUUGGUAUCAGCCUAUUGUCCCUUCUUCCGGAAACAGUAUGGGAAUGUCAAGGAAAAUGGUGAUGGGGUCAAAGCCACCAGAUUGUGUAAACAAGUGCAUGAAUUGCCAGCCAUGUAGGGCAACUCUAGCCAUCCCACCUCGCCAGCAGAGGAGUACUGAUGAAAAAGAUGACAACUAUUAUCUUCUUUCAUGGAAAUGCAGUUGCAGAGAUGAGCUUUUUUGACCAGGGGCGGAGCUAGAAGGUUACAUAUGGGUUCAACCGACAAUAGCGAAGUCAGAAAUUUCCCGUUUAAACUUGAAAGAAGUGAAAACAAUUCUCGAUAAAAAGUAUUCAAUAUAUGUUAUAUAUUUUUAAAAUCUAAUACUUUACC